This 520-nucleotide long non-coding RNA is filed under the name Homo sapiens (human). Its description in RNAcentral is "LHRI_LNC314.1". The record is from RNAcentral. Lineage: Eukaryota; Metazoa; Chordata; Mammalia; Primates; Hominidae.
AGGAAGUAGAGGGAAUGUUCUGUGACAAGUAUAUGUGGGGGUGGGAAGUUUACAACUGAAUGGGAUCCCAGAGGACGCACUGGAAAGGCUGGCAGAAAGCAAAGCAGUGGGAGGAUGAGUCAGGCGCUAAAAUGCACAAAACAACAUGGGAAUAAGAGUACAUGAGAGGAUGCGGGUUCAGAUGGCUUGCAUUGUUGGUGCUGGCCAGGUAUCACAGGGAUGAGAAGAAGGAAACUAAUUGGGCUCAUGGUUCCAAACAGAACUUUGGCAAGGGGAUCUCUCUCUGCAGAACUCCAGGUACUAUUGAAGCCUCUGCAGCCAGUUCCCAGUCCUAUUGUCAUUUAUCUGACUCAUGCUUGCCUACAACACACAUCAUUUCCACCCUUAAAAUGGUCAGAUGUUCCAAAACAGCCCUGUAUACAUAAUCUAUGAGUUUUGAAGUUGAGUUUCUAGGGUUAAUUCCUCUCAAAGCAUUUGAGAUCCUCUAGGCCUAUACUGAUUAAUAGGUUCAUCAAAGGAC